GAUGAACGCUGGCGGCGUGCCUAAUACAUGCAAGUCGAGCGAACGGACGAGAAGCUUGCUUUUCUGAUGUUAGCGGCGGACGGGUGAGUAACACGUGGAUAACCUACCUAUAAGACUGGGAUAACUUCGGGAAACCGGAGCUAAUACCGGAUAAUAUUUUGAACCGCAUGGUUCAAAGGUGAAAGACGGUCUUGCUGUCACUUAUAGAUGGAUCCGCGCUGCAUUAGCUAGUUGGUAAGGUAACGGCUUACCAAGGCAACGAUGGAUAGCCGACCUGAGAGGGUGAUCGGCCACACUGGAACUGAGACACGGUCCAGACUCCUACGGGAGGCAGCAGUAGGGAAUCUUCCGCAAUGGGCGAAAGCCUGACGGAGCAACGCCGCGUGAGUGAUGAAGGUCUUCGGAUCGUAAAACUCUGUUAUUAGGGAAGAACAUAUGUGUAAGUAACUGUGCACAUCUUGACGGUACCUAAUCAGAAAGCCACGGCUAACUACGUG
This 497-nucleotide ribosomal RNA is filed under the name uncultured bacterium. RNAcentral describes it as "partial 16S ribosomal RNA". It matches the Rfam family "Bacterial small subunit ribosomal RNA", at positions 28 to 507 of the family's 1533-position model. The record is from RNAcentral.